This 767-nucleotide long non-coding RNA is filed under the name Capsicum annuum. Its description in RNAcentral is "long non-coding RNA (CANN_LNC008976)". The record is from RNAcentral. Lineage: Eukaryota; Viridiplantae; Streptophyta; Magnoliopsida; Solanales; Solanaceae.
UUUUACUCCAGUGAUAUAACCCCACAUAUUCUUCCCACGAAGAAAAUUCUUCAUGACAUAACUCUAAUAGGCAUAGUUCUUACCAUCUAAUUGAGUACUAAUGGACUGGAGAGAAUCAUCCUUUCCAGUCAUUGUAAACACAGCAACACACAAACAAUUCAAAAAACAAAAAGAUGCAAAACCCUAGGUUGAACAAUUCCGAACGAACAACAAUGGCAGCAAGCAAAAGAACGAAAGACGAACAAUACCAGACAGCAAACGAAUACAGCAGCACCUCAAAAUUCGGGGCUCCGCCCCGAACCCCAGACGGGGGCGCGCUGCCCCCCGUACCUCCCAGCGAACUCACCGCGGAGUUCGAUCCGCGCAGUAGGUGCCUGCUACAAAAUCUUCAACCAACAAAUCAAAGGACAUGGAUCAAACUAGCUUUGAUACCAUGUUAAUAGAACUUUAUUGAAAGAAAGAAAGGCUAAGGUUUACAAUAUAAUCUGAAAAGCAUAAAAAAAACUAAAGCAAAAGUAGGCUAUAUAUAUACAUAGCCAAUAACCUAAAGGUCCAUAAACUAAAGGCCCAAUAACAUAUGGGCUAACAAUAUCAAGUGGAGUCUGGUUUUGUUUGCUAAAUGACAUCUUCUUUGCUCUGGGAUGGUUUAUUAAUUCAGGCACAUGGUUACCAGAUGCAGCAAGCAAAUGGAGAGGAGUGUUGCCGCUACUAUCUGGCUCAUCGACAAGGCUGUCGCACUUAUCAUAGCCUAAUAAUACGCGGACUAC